RNAcentral lists this ribosomal RNA (245 nucleotides) under uncultured bacterium. Its description in RNAcentral is "partial 16S ribosomal RNA". It matches the Rfam family "Bacterial small subunit ribosomal RNA", at positions 88 to 334 of the family's 1533-position model. The record is from RNAcentral.
CUGGCGACCGGCGCACGGGUGAGUAACACGUAUCCAACCUGCCGAUAACUCGGGGAUAGCCUUUCGAAAGAAAGAUUAAUACCCGAUGGCAUAAUUAGACCGCAUGGUUUGAUUAUUAAAGAAUUUCGGUUAUCGAUGGGGAUGCGUUCCAUUAGGCAGUUGGUGAGGUAACGGCUCACCAAACCUUUGAUGGAUAGGGGUUCUGAGAGGAAGGUCCCCCACAUUGGAACUGAGACACGGUCCAA